AUUUUUUUUGGUGCGGCACACCUCAGUUAUUCCAACCAAAGAUUUCCCAGUUCACUCGUGAGGGGCAUCAAUUAAAUAUUUAUCUACCAUAGCUCUCCUCAAUUACUAACAUAUUCUAAGUAAUGCCAUAUAAAAAGUUAGGUCUCUCUUUCUUGUGUCCUUAAUUCCAACAUCCGGGCGAGCUUGACAAAAGAGGCUUUGCAUUGAACAAGAAAUCAAACUUGGUUAUUUAAAGAAAUGGGCCUUGUGCAAGAUUCGGCAUUAAAGCCUAAAUGCAGAAAUGGGCAUGCCUAGCAGAAGGGACCUGUGCUUCAGAUUUGCAGCUUCAUGGCCCAAUUAUUUGAGGGCUAAAGAGGAGAAUGAAGACAAGACCCAAGUUGGGUCUCUACCCUUAAUCAACAUCAGAAAUGUGAAAAGGAGGCUCACCAUGGAACUCCAGCCCAUCACUAACAUGAUUUUUAAUAGAAUAAUUACUAAUUAUGAACUCAACUCUAUCAUGUUCCAAACACUGGGUCCAAAGCAACACUCUAAAUACAUGCUCCUUAUGCUUGCAAUCGAUUUCCAAAUAGCUUCAAAAACAAUUAUAAAACACCAAAUUUACUUAAACCCUUGCUUAUUCCAUAUGAAUGACAUAUAGAAAUUCGUGGAGUGACCUAAUUAAUAAACAUGAAUCUAAACCUUAAACUCGCAAAUGAAUAUGCUUACAAAACAGAUUUUGUGCAAAUAAAUAUCCAUACAAGCCAACACAUAACAUUUCCAUGCAUUCAAAUAGAUAUCAAGACUAAAACUCACUGAUCUUCAGCAGAAACUAAACAAAUUCUGUAAUCCAGAACACGAAAUCAAAACUAAAGUUGAAUAGUUAAAGACUAUGGUCCAUUUGUCAUACAACACCUAUAGAACCUGCUUGUACACCUUUUAAUCAUGUUAUUUAAUAUUGAAACUAAACAGUUAACUAACAACACUAGUCUAGUUUUAUAACAUGCAAGUAACAACUUACUUAACACCUAUCAUUAUAGACCUAUUACAUGAUAUAAAACAACAAAAGAAAUAGAGACAGAUUGAGUCGACUAUAGCUUGUAUUCAAUUAAAUCCACUGAAUUACAUAAUCAACACUUAGUCAUUGUUCAUUGGGCUAAGAAGGAUAUCUGGAAAGCAAAAAUGAGAGAGAAGUGAGAAGAUCAGUAGUAAGCAGCAGCAAAUAACCCAGAUUCAACAACCUACGGUGAACAACCCAUGACAGACCAAUGGAAUAGUUGAAGAUUAUUAGAAAAACUGAUUUCAAACCCAUGCUUAAACCAUAUUUUUGUUCACAGAUGUACAAGUUCAGUGAUUUUUCAAAACUCUAAGUUCCGUAUAUUCAAAGAACCCAAUCGAGCAACCGGAACUAAUUCCAACUUUCAAAAAAUACCAAGUUCAAUCUAUUCUCACCCCAAGUGACUCAAAAUUGGUUCAGAAGUUGAAGAACUCAAAAUUGCAGAUAAAACAUUAAUGAAACUGUGUUUCUGAAAAUUUCUUCGCUACUUUCUCUGAUUUGUUCAAAGUUUUCUAUACUUUUCCUUUAAUAUCUCGAAAUUCCUUCUUCAAGAUCUAAAUUCCCCACUGAAAUCUGAUUUUAGCUUCCCUUAGUAAUGCC
RNAcentral lists this long non-coding RNA (1633 nucleotides) under Nicotiana benthamiana. Its description in RNAcentral is "long non-coding RNA (NBEN_LNC023872)". The record is from RNAcentral. Lineage: Eukaryota; Viridiplantae; Streptophyta; Magnoliopsida; Solanales; Solanaceae.